AUUGAACGCUGGCGGCAUGCCUUACACAUGCAAGUCGAACGGCAGCACGGGAGCAAUCCUGGUGGCGAGUGGCGAACGGGUGAGUAAUAUAUCGGAACGUGCCCAGUCGUGGGGAUAACGUAGCGAAAGCUACGCUAAUACCGCAUACGAUCUAUGGAUGAAAGCGGGGGAUCGCAAGACCUCGCGCGAUUGGAGCGGCCGAUAUCAGAUUAGGUAGUUGGUGAGGUAAAGGCUCACCAAGCCGACGAUCUGUAGCUGGUCUGAGAGGACGACCAGCCACACUGGGACUGAGACACGGCCCAGACUCCUACGGGAGGCAGCAGUGGGGAAUUUUGGACAAUGGGCGCAAGCCUGAUCCAGCAAUGCCGCGUGCAGGAUGAAGGCCUUCGGUUGUAACUGCUUUGUACGGAACGAACGGUAGAGCUCUAAUACAGUUUGCUAAUGACGGUACCGUAAGAAUAAG
This 463-nucleotide ribosomal RNA is filed under the name uncultured bacterium. RNAcentral's name for it is "bacterial SSU rRNA". It matches the Rfam family "Bacterial small subunit ribosomal RNA", at positions 30 to 490 of the family's 1533-position model. The record is from RNAcentral.